Molecule: ribosomal RNA, 253 nt
Filed under: uncultured bacterium
Lineage: Bacteria
Description: partial 16S ribosomal RNA
Rfam family: Bacterial small subunit ribosomal RNA
Source: RNAcentral
UACGUAGGGGGCAAGCGUUGUCCGGAAUCAUUGGGCGUAAAGAGCGUGUAGGCGGCCAAUUAAGUCCUGCGUGAAAUCUCGGGGCUCAACCCCGAGCGGUCGUGGGAAACUGGUUGGCUAGAGUGCGGGAGAGGAGAGUGGAAUUCCUGGUGUAGCGGUGAAAUGCGCAGAUAUCAGGAAGAACACCCGUGGCGAAGGCGGCUCUCUGGAACGCAACUGACGCUGAGACGCGAAAGCGUGGGGAGCGAACAGG